CGACGGGGACACAGAGGUGAAGCUUGCUUCUGAGGUGACGAGCGGCGGACGGGUGAGUAAUGCCUAGGGAUCUGCCCAGUCGAGGGGGAUAACAGUUGGAAACGACUGCUAAUACCGCAUACGCCCUACGGGGGAAAGGAGGGGACCUUCGGGCCUUCCGCGAUUGGAUGAACCUAGGUGGGAUUAGCUAGUUGGUGAGGUAAUGGCUCACCAAGGCGACGAUCCCUAGCUGUUCUGAGAGGAUGAUCAGCCACACUGGGACUGAGACACGGCCCAGACUCCUACGGGAGGCAGCAGUGGGGAAUAUUGCACAAUGGGGGAAACCCUGAUGCAGCCAUGCCGCGUGUGUGAAGAAGGCCUUCGGGUUGUAAAGCACUUUCAGUAGGGAGGAAAGGUAAUGUUUUAAUAAACUAUUACUGUGACGUUACCUACAGAAGAAGGACCGGCUAACUCCGUGCCAGCAGCCGCGGUAAUACGGAGGGUCCGAGCGUUAAUCGGAAUUACUGGGCGUAAAGCGUGCGCAGGCGGUUUGUUAAGCCAGAUGUGAAAUCCCCGGGCUCAACCUGGGAAUUGCAUUUGGAACUGGCGAACUAGAGUCUUGUAGA
Molecule: ribosomal RNA, 605 nt
Filed under: Shewanella sp.
Lineage: Bacteria; Pseudomonadati; Pseudomonadota; Gammaproteobacteria; Alteromonadales; Shewanellaceae
Description: bacterial SSU rRNA
Rfam family: Bacterial small subunit ribosomal RNA
Source: RNAcentral